This 522-nucleotide ribosomal RNA is filed under the name Staphylococcus warneri. Its description in RNAcentral is "bacterial SSU rRNA". It matches the Rfam family "Bacterial small subunit ribosomal RNA", at positions 1013 to 1533 of the family's 1533-position model. Lineage: Bacteria; Bacillati; Bacillota; Bacilli; Caryophanales; Staphylococcaceae. The record is from RNAcentral.
UUCCCCUUCGGGGGACAAAGUGACAGGUGGUGCAUGGUUGUCGUCAGCUCGUGUCGUGAGAUGUUGGGUUAAGUCCCGCAACGAGCGCAACCCUUAAGCUUAGUUGCCAUCAUUAAGUUGGGCACUCUAAGUUGACUGCCGGUGACAAACCGGAGGAAGGUGGGGAUGACGUCAAAUCAUCAUGCCCCUUAUGAUUUGGGCUACACACGUGCUACAAUGGACAAUACAAAGGGCAGCUAAACCGCGAGGUCAAGCAAAUCCCAUAAAGUUGUUCUCAGUUCGGAUUGUAGUCUGCAACUCGACUACAUGAAGCUGGAAUCGCUAGUAAUCGUAGAUCAGCAUGCUACGGUGAAUACGUUCCCGGGUCUUGUACACACCGCCCGUCACACCACGAGAGUUUGUAACACCCGAAGCCGGUGGAGUAACCAUUUAUGGAGCUAGCCGUCGAAGGUGGGACAAAUGAUUGGGGUGAAGUCGUAACAAGGUAGCCGUAUCGGAAGGUGCGGCUGGAUCACCUCCUUU